RNAcentral lists this ribosomal RNA (250 nucleotides) under uncultured Lactobacillus sp. Its description in RNAcentral is "partial 16S ribosomal RNA". It matches the Rfam family "Bacterial small subunit ribosomal RNA", at positions 114 to 354 of the family's 1533-position model. Lineage: Bacteria; Bacillati; Bacillota; Bacilli; Lactobacillales; Lactobacillaceae. The record is from RNAcentral.
CACGUGGGGAACCUGCCCCACUAGUCUGGGAUACCACUUGGAAACAGGUGCUAAUACCGGAUAAGAAAGCGGAUCGCAUGAUCAGCUUUUAAAAGGCGGCGUAAGCUGUCGCUAUGGGAUGGCCCCGCGGUGCAUUAGCUAGUUGGUAAGGUAAAGGCUUACCAAGGCGAUGAUGCAUAGCCGAGUUGAGAGACUGAUCGGCCACAUUGGGACUGAGACACGGCCCAAACUCCUACGGGAGGCAGCAGGC